This 400-nucleotide ribosomal RNA is filed under the name phytoplankton environmental sample. RNAcentral describes it as "partial small subunit ribosomal RNA". It matches the Rfam family "Eukaryotic small subunit ribosomal RNA", at positions 587 to 991 of the family's 1831-position model. The record is from RNAcentral.
AGCUCCAAUAGCGUAUAUUAAAGUUGUUGCAGUUAAAAAGCUCGUAGUUGGAUCUGGGGCACAGGCGGUCGGUCCACCUUGCGGUGUUGACUGGCCUGCCCGGCCCACCUUCCGGUCCUUCCUUGGUGCUCUUGACUGAGUGCCCUGGGCGGCUGGGACGUUUACUUUGAAAAAAUUAGAGUGCUCAAAGCAGUCCUGAGCGACUGAAUAUUGUUGCAUGGAAUAAUGGAACAGGACCCCGGUUCUGUUGUGUUGGUUUUCGGAACUGGAGUAAUGAUUAAGAGGAACAGACGGGGGCAUUCGUAUUACAGCGGGAGAGGUGAAAUUCUUGGAUCGCUGUAAGACGGACUACUGCGAAAGCAUUUGCCAAGAAUGUUUUCAUUAAUCAAGAACGAAAGUA